Molecule: non-coding RNA, 218 nt
Filed under: Burkholderiales bacterium
Lineage: Bacteria; Pseudomonadati; Pseudomonadota; Betaproteobacteria; Burkholderiales
Source: RNAcentral
UCCGCCCCUUACGUGUAUGGUGCCCUCCUGCUUAUCUGUCGGAGGGUGAAACGGGAAGCCGGUGACGUGGGAGAUUGCAUCUCUUGCCAGUCCGGCGCAGCCCCCGCUGCUGUAAGCCUGACGAAUUUGUCCAAAUGCCACUGUGCCACUGCAUGGGAAGGUAAGGACAGAGGAGGAUGAAGGCGAGCCAGAAUACCGGCCAUGCGCGUUGAUUGAUG